Molecule: ribosomal RNA, 480 nt
Filed under: uncultured organism
Description: partial 16S ribosomal RNA
Rfam family: Bacterial small subunit ribosomal RNA
Source: RNAcentral
CGUACACUCCUGCGGGAGGCAGCAGUGGGGAAUUUUGGACAAUGGGCGAAAGCCUGAUCCAGCCAUGCCGCGUGCAGGAUGAAGGCCUUCGGGUUGUAAACUGCUUUUGUACGGAACGAAACGGCCUUUUCUAAUAAAGAGGGCUAAUGACGGUACCGUAAGAAUAAGCACCGGCUAACUACGUGCCAGCAGCCGCGGUAAUACGUAGGGUGCAAGCGUUAAUCGGAAUUACUGGGCGUAAAGCGUGCGCAGGCGGUUAUGUAAGACAGUUGUGAAAUCCCCGGGCUCAACCUGGGAACUGCAUCUGUGACUGCAUAGCUAGAGUACGGUAGAGGGGGAUGGAAUUCCGCGUGUAGCAGUGAAAUGCGUAGAUAUGCGGAGGAACACCGAUGGCGAAGGCAAUCCCCUGGACCUGUACUGACGCUCAUGCACGAAAGCGUGGGGAGCAAACAGGAUUAGAUACCCCAGUAGUCCCAUGAU